RNAcentral lists this ribosomal RNA (400 nucleotides) under uncultured bacterium. RNAcentral describes it as "bacterial SSU rRNA". It matches the Rfam family "Bacterial small subunit ribosomal RNA", at positions 358 to 775 of the family's 1533-position model. The record is from RNAcentral.
GGAAUAUUGCACAAUGGGGGAAACCCUGAUGCAGCGACGCCGCGUGAAGGAAGAAGUAUUUCGGUAUGUAAACUUCUAUCAGCAGGGAAGAAAAUGACGGUACCUGGGUAAGAAGCGCCGGCUAACUACGUGCAAGCAGCCGCGGUAAUACGUAGGGGGCAAGCGUUACCCGGAUUUACUGGGUGUAAAGGGAGCGUAGACGGUAAUGUAAGUCUGAUGUGAAAGCCCGGGGCUCAACCCCGGGACUGCAUUGGAAACUAUGUAACUAGAGUACCGGAGAGGUAAGCGGAAUUCCUAGUGUAGCGGUGAAAUGCGUAGAUAUUAGGAGGAACACCAGUGGCGAAGGCGGCUUACUGGACGGAAACUGACGUUGAGGCUCGAAAGCGUGGGGAGCAAACAG